CAUUAAGUUGCUAUUACAGUGUAGGUAGUUACAUAUUGGUCAUCUUGUCACUUCUAGCUCUAGUACCUUAACUAUGAACCCCUCACAAUUCGAUGCACUCACCCGACAAAUAGCGGCUAUUCAAACUCAAAUGACCGCUACUCUUGAAGAGAGUAAGGCCCUAUCUGUUAGUUUGAAAAAUUUUAAACACAUCCCUCAUUCGAUUGAUGUUGAUAAUUCUAAGGUGUCCCAUAAUAGACAACAUCGUCGACAAGGUAAUCAAAAAUACUUUCGACCCGAUCGUAAGGAUAGGGAUAGGAAUAGGGAUCAGAUUCGUGAGCGAGAACGAGAUGAUUUUGAAAUUCUUACUCAAUGGAAUGCCCUUAAACAAGGAAAUCAAUUAGUGACUGAGUAUAUCGCGCAAUUUGAGGAAUUUCGAACCAAUUGUCAUUUAAUUGAGGAUGAGAGCACGACUUUGAGCAGGUUUAGCCAAGGUCUGAGAAAUGAUCUUAAGCGCGAGCUGUUCCUUCGAGGUGUCACUACUCUUGAUCACGCUUACUCUUUAGCUCGAGAUUAUGAGUUGAUUAUUAGUACUCCAUAUGAAAAGCGUGGUCA
Molecule: long non-coding RNA, 594 nt
Filed under: Olea europaea subsp. europaea
Lineage: Eukaryota; Viridiplantae; Streptophyta; Magnoliopsida; Lamiales; Oleaceae
Source: RNAcentral